AAAUUUCACAGUCUUCCCCAUGCAAGAUUUCCAAGAUAGUUUUUCUUGUGUAGAUAAGUAACAAGAAUUCUCCAUAGUUUUGCAAGAAAUUAAAUAGUUCUGCCACUAUGGUCUAAGUUUAAGUUAGAAUAUUCGGUCUUGCACGUCCAAGGUUUUGGGUUCAAGGUUCAAACCAAAGGCGUUCUCUAAAUAGAUCCUUUUUAGGCAAUGGAUAUUGAUACAAACAAUGAAUUAAAAUUAUAUUAAAAUUAUGAUUCUCUAAUAUGGCGUUCAGGACUUGGGUGUGUUCUGUUCUUGAGUUUAGAAUGCAUUUAAACUGAUUCGGUUUCAACCUUUCGUCGGAAUACGGCUUGAAUUCGUAAACGAGGAAGAUAUCAGUCAUAUCCGUCUACGAAACUAGUUUUUUUUUACUAGUUCUUUUAUUAGCGCAGAUCAGACGUGAGUGGCACGUGAUCUGAUCCCUCACAGAUGUUAGGAACUUCAUGUGGUUUGUUUUAAGUCUGUUUUUAGUUACAUCAUCAGGUUUUCGGCUGUUUUUUACAGGACAUCCGACAGAAUCGACACAAAAUCCCCGGUAAGGACUAUUUUUGUCCAGCCCAUUGAACUCAACGGUCCAUCCUCCCACUGUGACGUCAGAGUCUCGUGCGCAGAUUUCGCAAUGAUGAAUUUUUUAUUAACGGAGUGGAAACACCGGUAUGGUGCAUUGUACUAGACUAUGGUACAUUGAUUUGCACAAGUAGCAAUUAGUACCACAGUCAGAUCAGUGCUACCAUUACUAAUAAAAUGGCAACUGGAAAGGGAAAGGUAGCAAUUAUAGGCAGUGGUUUGAUUGGCAAGUCUUGGUCAGUUCUUUUCUGUCGGGCUGGAUACGAGGUUAAUAUAUAUGACAUUGAUGAGAAGCAAGUGUCAAAUGCCUUGUCUGGGAUUCUUGAAUCAUUGCAAGAGUUAGAAAGCCAAGGAUUGCUUAAGGAUUCACCAAUCAACUCUGCUCAAGAGGCGUAUAAGUUGGUUACUGGUUGUAAUGAUCUUGGAAAAGCUAUUGAAGGAGCCAUUUAUGUGCAGGAGAACACUCCAGAAAAUAUUGACAUAAAAAAGAAAGUUUUUCUAAAUCUUGAUGGUCUUGUGAAAAAUGAUGAGAUCAUUCUUGCUAGUUCAACAUCUUGUAUUGUUCCUUCCCGAUUCAGUGAAGCUCUCAAACAUCGCAAACAGUGCAUUGUGGCUCAUCCGGUGAACCCUCCGCAUUAUGUGCCACUGGUUGAGAUAGUACCAGCACCUUGGACGGAAAGCUCAGUUGUAGAGAAAACAGUAGCAAUAAUGAAAGAUAUUGGACAGGCACCAGUGACUUUAAAGAAGGAAAUGAAUGGGUUUUUAUUGAACAGGAUACAAUAUGCUAUCAUUAUGGAAGGCUGGCGACUUGUCGAGGAUGGUGUGUGUACGCCAGAGGAUGUCGACACAGCCAUGAGCAAGGGACUGGGAUUGAGAUAUUCAUUCAUGGGUCCAUUUGAAACAAUGCACUUGAAUGCUGGAGGAAUUUUGGAUUAUUGUGAGAAGUAUGGAGCGAAUAUUGAGAAGAUUUGCACAGAACAGGGAUCAUCAAGAUCUCUUGCUGGUUCAAACACAGCACAUGUUGUUCAUAAUGCAAUGUGUGAAGCAAGUGCUCCUGUUGAGAAACUAGAGGAACGCAGAGCGUGGAGGGACAAACGAUUGUCAAGACUAGCUGUCCACCAAGCAAGCCAGAAAGAUUGAUGAUGAAAUUAAUAUCAUAAACAAGACUUUGAUUAAAAACAUUUUUCCAAAAUUAAAAGUGUCUCAUAAGCAUGUCGACAUAUUGGCAUUCUUUGUGGUAUUUAAGUAAAAUGGUAUUCGUUGAGUGUAUUUGAAUC
Molecule: unclassified non-coding RNA, 1883 nt
Filed under: Dendronephthya gigantea
Lineage: Eukaryota; Metazoa; Cnidaria; Anthozoa; Malacalcyonacea; Nephtheidae
Description: lambda-crystallin-like, transcript variant X2
Source: RNAcentral